RNAcentral lists this ribosomal RNA (305 nucleotides) under uncultured bacterium. Its description in RNAcentral is "bacterial SSU rRNA". It matches the Rfam family "Bacterial small subunit ribosomal RNA", at positions 28 to 334 of the family's 1533-position model. The record is from RNAcentral.
GACGAACGCUGGCGGCGUGCCUAACACAUGCAAGUCGAACGGAGUGAUGAUUUCGGUUAUCACUUAGUGGCGAACGGGUGAGUAACGCGUGAGAAACCUGCCUUUCAGUGGGGGACAACAGUUGGAAACGACUGCUAAUACCGCAUAAUGUCAUUUGGGGGCAUCCCUGGAUGACCAAAGAUUUAUUGCUGAAAGAUGGUCUCGCGUCUGAUUAGCUGGUUGGUGGGGUAACGGCCUACCAAGUCAACGAUCAGUAGCCGGUCUGAGAGGAUGAACGGCCACAUUGGGACUGAGAUACGGCCCAG